AACCGGUAAGCCGAAAACGGUAUCAAAGAGUAGGCG
Mucilaginibacter sp. PPCGB 2223 is the source of this 36-nucleotide regulatory RNA element. It matches the Rfam family "DUF805b RNA". Rfam says of the family: Bacteroidetes, Chlorobi (1 example), Proteobacteria. Lineage: Bacteria; Pseudomonadati; Bacteroidota; Sphingobacteriia; Sphingobacteriales; Sphingobacteriaceae. The record is from Rfam.